CUUUAUUGCACUACUGUACUUUACAGCUAGCAGUGCAAUAGUAUUGUC
RNAcentral lists this non-coding RNA (48 nucleotides) under Sus scrofa (pig). The record is from RNAcentral. Lineage: Eukaryota; Metazoa; Chordata; Mammalia; Artiodactyla; Suidae.